AUUGAACGCUGGCGGCAUGCUUUACACAUGCAAGUCGAACGGUAACAGGCCGCAAGGUGCUGACGAGUGGCGAACGGGUGAGUAAUGCAUCGGAACGUGCCCAGUCGUGGGGGAUAACUACUCGAAAGAGUAGCUAAUACCGCAUACGAUCUAUGGAUGAAAGCGGGGGACCGUAAGGCCUCGCGCGAUUGGAGCGGCCGAUGUCAGAUUAGGUAGUUGGUGGGGUAAAGGCUCACCAAGCCAACGAUCUGUAGCUGGUCUGAGAGGACGACCAGCCACACGGGGACUGAGACACGGCCCAGACGCCUAAGGGAGGCAGCAGUGGGGAAUUUUGGACAAUGGGCGCAAGCCUGAUACAGCAAUGCCGCGUGCAGGAAGAAGGCCUUCGGGUUGUAAACUGCUUUUGUACGGAACGAAACGGCUCUGGUUAAUACCCGGGGCUAAUGACGGUACCGUAAGAAUAAGCACCGGCUAACUACGUG
This 482-nucleotide ribosomal RNA is filed under the name uncultured bacterium. Its description in RNAcentral is "partial 16S ribosomal RNA". It matches the Rfam family "Bacterial small subunit ribosomal RNA", at positions 30 to 507 of the family's 1533-position model. The record is from RNAcentral.